Long non-coding RNA from Triticum aestivum (bread wheat), 3426 nucleotides. RefSeq lists it as uncharacterized. NCBI's taxonomy places the organism in Eukaryota, Viridiplantae, Streptophyta, Magnoliopsida, Poales, Poaceae. The transcript is spliced from 6 exons. The record is from RefSeq and is a predicted model, not a curated record.
AAGGAUGGAUAAGGCGAAGGGGGCGAAAGAUGCUGAUGCGUGGGGGGAGAGAGUGGGAGGAGUGCGCGUACACGGGAGGCGGGAGGCGGGGCCAGGGAGGAGGAAGACAGCCGCGACGGCGACCAGUGCCGCGCCGCCGGCGGCGAGGAGAGCUCCGGGUUCACCGGAUCGAGCGUCGCCGAGGAGGGGGACACUCCACGGCGGCGGUGCUUGGGGCUCCGACGAGCGGAGGCGAGCGGCGACAGGAGGCGACAGGAGAAGCUCCGCGGCGACCUGAAGGCCAUCAGCCAUGGCCGUUGUGGUUUCGCGUGCGCCCGCGAGCGGCUGCACGCUGGGGGAGGCGGAGCUUGACGCAGCGCGCGAACCUAGCCUUGGUGCGAGUGCGACGGCGACGCGGCUGCUGUCCUCCCGUCUAACCCGCGGCACGUCGAGCCUCACCGGAGUUCCUCCAUGACGCCGUAAGCAGCUGCCACUGCCCUCCAUGGAGCCCCGACGCCUCCGCCAUGAACCCAUCCAUCCCUCCUGUGCGCGCUUCCCUGCAACUCCAGAAGCCCGCCCGCAGCUCUCUGCAUCGAGCAGCAGCAGUUCGGGCAGAGGACGACGCCUCUGCCUCGACCGCUCGCCCCCUCUGCUUCGCGCUGGACUGCCAAGCCCCUCCCGUCCUCAUCCCCGUGCAGCUGCACGCUCUCGCCUGCCCCCACGGUGAGCUCCGCCUCCUGCGUGUGGUCGCCGCCUCCCUCAACCUCCACCACCUGCUGCAAGUUGGUGCCCAGGGCGUCGCAAGCUGCCAGCGGCGGCAGAGUUGCUGCUCCCGUGUCGUGAUUGGACUCCGUGUUCUUCUCCAACAGCAAAUACGUGUUCUUCUCCAACACCAAUCAAUGGAUUUCCCGAGCCGGAUUUGAGUUGCCUACUAUAAGAAGGAAGGGUCCUCGGACCAGAAGCUCCAUCACAUCAAAUCAAAUCCCGUCGAAAUUGCAAUCUUCGUCGAAACAUCCAUGUCGCCGCCGAGUUCGCCGGAGGAAGAAGCGCAGAGUUCGCCGGAGGAACAAGCGUUGGACGUGUGUGGCGGCGUGCUCGGAGAGCGGGGAGGGGCGCUGUGGUGGUGGAGAUGGCCGACGCUGUAGACAAGCGCUGGGAGCUUCUGAAGCCAUGGCCGAGCGAAGGGGAGAGCCGCCAUGCUAGACGAGAACAACAACCGUGGUAGAUGAUGUUCAGGGAGAUAUUACAAACUGCUAGAUGUUGCUACUGUAUUGACUAUAAGCUGCUGGAUUUCUUGCUCCCAAGUAUACUUGCUUAUCUGUGCUAUAAUGGAAAAUAGCCUAACCGUUGGACCUUCAGUUUAUUAUAUUUUCUUCUUUGUUCUUGGUAGACAUGCGCAAGUCAAUGGCUGAUCACUUCUUUAUAUGCGAUCCUGAGCUGAUGCGAAGGUCCUAUGUUUUCUUGAUUGGCAGGCAGGUGAGCAAGAGGAGGACCAUAGGUCAGGGAGUGUUUGGUUUCAGGGAGAUCGUUGGGGAGGAGUUCAUGACCAUGUUCCUGUCAGUUUUUAGCCGUAUGGUUCAGAAUCGCCAUAAUUGGAGUGGCAUUUAUCAAAUUAACCCUAAUUACUUUGUCAAACACACAUAUUCUUUCUUGAUACGCAUUUUCAUUUUUGGUUAUCUGUGAGAAUGUUUAGUAUACAGAGAAGUUGUUCCAUGGAUCAGCUAAACAAAAAAUAACUUUUCAUUUGUGAUAGUUUGCGAUAUGCAGAGAUAGGUCUAUCAAAGUUUGUAAUGGCUCAUGGCCAAACAUAUGAAACUGUUCUUGAUACUAUUUUAUCCUUUUCUUAAUAUCAUCAUCAUCAUAUAUAUAUAUGUGUGUGUGUGUGUGUAUAUACACACACACACACACACACACACACAAAUUAGAAACUUUCUAACAUCUGCAUAUUUCAGGUUUAGGAGGAUGUAGAGAGAACGAUGUUCAAACAAUUAAGUGCAGCAUCAACAGACGUGUUCCUAAAUUUUGAUGACUAUUAGAAAGAGAGAGGAUAUGGUGACCGAAAGUCGUGCCGUGUACGUGUCGGGCAGUGGUAGAUUAAAGAUAUUUUGUAAUUGGACUUGGCAAGGGAUAGAGACUAGCAUGAAUUUUUUUUUUGAGCAGCGAAAUGGCGCAACCCUUCGUGAUUUUUGAAGUUUGAACAGAGUUAUGAACCAUUCGCCGCCUAAUCCCUAGAUUCUUGGAGUAUCAAGAUGGUGUGGCCAUCAGGGUUCCCAUCACCAUGCAUGCCAUGCUUGAGCUCCUCAAGAACGCCACCAAGCUGGCGUGUAAUGGAUGAUGGCUGAUGCAACGGUGGAGGAGGCGUAUUGAUGUCAGUUUGAAGCAAAUCAGGAGAACGCCACCAUCGGUGAGGUUGCCAGGUGAAGGAAGCAGCGGACUGGUGGCAAGGCUUUUCUACUCACCACCGUUUGAGUUCAUCAUCUGUCGCUACUGUACCCACUCAGUCGUAUCCAUGUUUGCAUAUUCUCCAGCCCAUUCAAUAAUCCACGAAAGGAGAAAGAAAUGUCUAAGAAACCGAAGGUAUUGCUGCAGCUGAUAGGUCGCCUACUCCUUUGGAUACCAUUCAUAUCGUACUUAACUCAGUGAGCAAAUUGAGGACUACGGUUAUCUUCCAUGUCUAUGUGAAAUAAAUGCGAUAGUUUCAUAACACCAAAUGGUCCAAAGUGCAUCCAAUACAUGGUCAAGAGCACCACUGACGUUCACGAAACCGAUAAUAUUACAGGUAGGUACGGUGGACUCUCAUGGCAAAACUGGUUUAAGGGUGUUUGGAAAAAGUAAUAUUUCUACUUGUGCAAAGAAUUUGGCUAGCAUGAGGGGGAAGACAAGCUCAAUCAUGUUGGAUGAUCCAUGACAAUAUAAUUUUCAGAUAUUCGAUCCGGCUCCGCGCGCAUAGGCCAUCAAGGCAAGAAACAUGCGUAGCUAUAUGAGCGCCAGAUGCCAACGUGUGCUAGAAGCAGCGGCGGCAGGUGGCCUGGCGGCCGAACACAUCAUUGGGGAACACAUGCCCUAGGGUACCUGAUCAGGGCCAGGUUCGUACGCUGGCUGGACAGCAAUUCAGGGGACCUGCCAAAAAUCUGAACUAUGGUAAUCCAGCGAGGAGACCCUGCCUGUGCCGAACAGUGUGCGGGCCGACAAGAAUUCAGAUUUGCUAGAAAGUGAUCCGGUCCUAGUUUUAUUUUCUUUAUUAUUUAAUCAUGAGACUGUCUAUGCUUUUGGCGAGGGAAUUGCAUGAACCACCACUUAUUGGGGCUAGUGUUGCACAAAACACCUACUAUACAGGUUUGUUGCAGAAAGCACCACAUAUUGGUGUAAUACAUUGCAGAUAGGUCUAAUCUAGCGUUUAGCUAUAUUAACAUAAUUUCAGACAAAUGGAUCUCGCUUGUAAGUCAA